RNAcentral lists this ribosomal RNA (467 nucleotides) under uncultured bacterium. RNAcentral describes it as "partial 16S ribosomal RNA". It matches the Rfam family "Bacterial small subunit ribosomal RNA", at positions 28 to 506 of the family's 1533-position model. The record is from RNAcentral.
GACGAACGCUGGCGGCGUGCUUAACACAUGCAAGUCGAACGGAAAGGCCCUGCUUUUGUGGGGUGCUCGAGUGGCGAACGGGUGAGUAACACGUGAGUAACCUGCCCUUGACUUUGGGAUAACUUCAGGAAACUGGGGCUAAUACCGGAUAGGAGCUCCUGCUGCAUGGUGGGGGUUUGAAAGUUUCGGCGGUUGGGGAUGGACUCGCGGCUUAUCAGCUUGUUGGUGGGGUAGUGGCUUACCAAGGCUUUGACGGGUAGCCGGCCUGAGAGGGUGACCGGCCACAUUGGGACUGAGAUACGGCCCAGACUCCUACGGGAGGCAGCAGUGGGGAAUAUUGCACAAUGGGCGGAAGCCUGAUGCAGCAACGCCGCGUGCGGGAUGACGGCCUUCGGGUUGUAAACCGCUUUCGCCUGUGACGAAGCGUGAGUGACGGUAAUGGGUAAAGAAGCACCGGCUAACUACGU